AUUGAACGCUGGCGGCAUGCCUUACACAUGCAAGUCGAACGGUAACAGGUCUUCGGAUGCUGACGAGUGGCGAACGGGUGAGUAAUACAUCGGAACGUGCCUAGUAGUGGGGGAUAACUACUCGAAAGAGUGGCUAAUACCGCAUGAGAUCUACGGAUGAAAGCAGGGGAUCGCAAGACCUUGUGCUACUAGAGCGGCCGAUGGCAGAUUAGGUGGUUGGUGGGAUAAAAGCUUACCAAGCCGACGAUCUGUAGCUGGUCUGAGAGGACGAUCAGCCACACUGGGACGGAGACACGGCCCAGACUCCUACGGGAGGCAGCAGUGGGGAAUUUUGGACAAUGGGCGAAAGCCUGACCCAGCAAUGCCGCGUGCAGGAUGAAGGCCUUCGGGUUGUAAACUGCUUUUGUACGGAACGAAAAGCCCCGGGUUAAUACCCUGGGGUCAUGACGGUACCGUAAGAAUAAGCACCGGCUAACUACGUGCCAGCCGCCGCCGUAA
RNAcentral lists this ribosomal RNA (498 nucleotides) under uncultured bacterium. RNAcentral describes it as "partial 16S ribosomal RNA". It matches the Rfam family "Bacterial small subunit ribosomal RNA", at positions 30 to 523 of the family's 1533-position model. The record is from RNAcentral.